GCCCCAUAGUCUGGGAUACCACUUGGAAACAGGUGAUAAUACCGGAUAAGAAAGCAGAUCGCAUGAUCAGCUUUUAAAAGGCGGCGUAAGCUGUCGCUAUGGGAUGGCCCCGCGGUGCAUUAGCUAGUUGGUAAGGUAAAGGCUUACCAAGGCGAUGAUGCAUAGCCGAGUUGAGAGACUGAUCGGCCACAUUGGGACUGAGACACGGCCCAAACUCCUACGGGAGGCAGCAGGC
Molecule: ribosomal RNA, 235 nt
Filed under: uncultured Lactobacillus sp.
Lineage: Bacteria; Bacillati; Bacillota; Bacilli; Lactobacillales; Lactobacillaceae
Description: partial 16S ribosomal RNA
Rfam family: Bacterial small subunit ribosomal RNA
Source: RNAcentral